CUACACCUGAACAAGCAAGAUUACCCGCUGACUUAAGCAUAUCAGUA
Molecule: ribosomal RNA, 47 nt
Filed under: Tetrahymena sp. BOLD:AAO5067
Lineage: Eukaryota; Ciliophora; Oligohymenophorea; Hymenostomatida; Tetrahymenidae
Description: partial 26S ribosomal RNA
Source: RNAcentral